UACGAAGGGGGCUAGCGUUGCUCGGAAUUACUGGGCGUAAAGCGUGCGCAGGCGGCUUUGCAAGACAGAUGUGAAAUCCCCGGGCUUAACCUGGGAACUGCAUUUGUGACUGCAAGGCUAGAGUACGGCAGAGGGGGAUGGAAUUCCGCGUGUAGCAGUGAAAUGCGUAGAUAUGCGGAGGAACACCGAUGGCGAAGGCAAUCCCCUGGGCCUGCACUGACGCUCAUGCACGAAAGCGUGGGGAGCAAACAGG
This 253-nucleotide ribosomal RNA is filed under the name uncultured bacterium. RNAcentral describes it as "partial 16S ribosomal RNA". It matches the Rfam family "Bacterial small subunit ribosomal RNA", at positions 524 to 776 of the family's 1533-position model. The record is from RNAcentral.